RNAcentral lists this ribosomal RNA (253 nucleotides) under uncultured bacterium. RNAcentral's name for it is "partial 16S ribosomal RNA". It matches the Rfam family "Bacterial small subunit ribosomal RNA", at positions 524 to 776 of the family's 1533-position model. The record is from RNAcentral.
UACGGAGGGUGCAAGCGUUGUUCGGAAUCACUGGGCGUAAAGGGCGCGUAGGCGGCCUGUUAAGUCUGAUGUGAAAGCCCGGGGCUCACCCCCGGAAGUGCAUUGGAAACUGAUGGACUCGAGUCCCGGAGAGGAGAGUGGAAUUCCUGGUGUAGCGGUGAAAUGCGUAGAUAUCAGGAGGAACACCGGUGGCGAAGGCGGCUCUCUGGACGGUGACUGACGCUGAGACGCGAAAGCGUGGGGAGCAAACAGG